Oxyura jamaicensis (ruddy duck) is the source of this 1006-nucleotide long non-coding RNA. RefSeq lists it as uncharacterized. The transcript is spliced from 4 exons. NCBI's taxonomy places the organism in Eukaryota, Metazoa, Chordata, Aves, Anseriformes, Anatidae. The record is from RefSeq and is a predicted model, not a curated record.
UCCUUUUUCUAGAUCCAAGAAAGCAAGCUCUUUGAUGGAACCGACCUCUUUCAAAAAUUAUAUUUAUAUUUGGCAAAGCCAAUUAAGAAACAAAGUAGAAGAAAGUGCUGAUUACUGCUGCAGUACUGUGCACAAAAACUUGCACACAUUAAUUUAAAAGCUAAAUUUGUUUUAGCUUCAUCUCUUUCCUUUUGAAUGUCUGUGAACGCUGGGUAUUCACUUAACUCACACAACUGCUCAUGGAAGAGAAAUGUUAAUUUCAAAUACCUGGGGAGAAUUUAUUAUACUUGGGCAUGCACAUGCUUCUGACUGAAGCUGCUAUCACUUACACAUAACGGUUUAUUCUUUGCUUCUGCCAAACAUCCAGCUAUGCCAAACUAAUGAUUAAAUAUUAACAACUUAAGUGAACAUAACUAAUUAUGACCGUUGCACAACUAAAUCUGAUUUAUUUUUUUCAGAACAAUUGCCUUAACUCCUAGAACACAAAGAAAGGCAAGCUAGAAAGGUAGUUGGAACUUCAGUUUUUCCUUUUUGGAGUUACUUGGGACUGAAGCUCUUCAGUUUAAAUGUGAAAGUUGCAUUUUUCUGGACACUGGUUUUGUGGUACUGACUGCAGCUGCCAUGAACAGAGGAACAUGAAGAGUGGUGUAUAUAACGGAGCCAUAAACAGAGACAUCACUGUGGAACUAGCUGCCUGGCAAGGGGUUUUCAGACUGCAUACCCUUUUCAGUCAUGCUCAGAAUUCUUGUCCUGUGAGCCCGUCCAGGAUCCAGCAAGGUACCUGUGAACAGAAAGGGAAAUGUGACCAUCCCAGCAUGCAGCCUGUUACUGGCCUCUCAGAAAACUUCUUGGGGCACAGGACCAAUUCGACAUGGGUCUUUGUAGUGUGUAAACAGAGAAUGCUGUUGCUCCAGCUUGUCCUCUGCAGGAAAAGAACAAGACCAAGAAAAAGCACAUCAGUCAUACAUUGUUAAACCUGUGGAUAACUGCAUGUUCUGCCACAAAA